UAUUGGUCAAUGGACGCGAGUCUGAACCAGCCAAGUAGCGUGCAGGAUGACUGCCCUAUGGGUUGUAAACUUCUUUUAUAUGGGAAUAAAGUUUUACACGUGUGGCAUUUUGUAUGUACCAUAUGAAUAAGGACCGGCUCACUCCGUUCCAUCAGCCGCGGUAAUACGGAGGAUCCGAGCGUUAUCCGGAUUUAUUGGGUUUAAAGGGAGCGUAGGUGGACAGUUAAGUCAGUUGUGAAAGUUUGCGGCUCAACCGUAAAAUUGCAGUUGAUACUGGCUGUCUUGAGUACAGUAGAGGUGGGCGGAAUUCGUGGUGUAGCGGUGAAAUGCUUAGAUAUCACGAAGAACUCCGAUUGCGAAGGCAGCUCACUGGACUGUUGACUGACACUGAGGCACGAAAGUGUGGGUAUCAAACA
RNAcentral lists this ribosomal RNA (416 nucleotides) under uncultured bacterium. Its description in RNAcentral is "bacterial SSU rRNA". It matches the Rfam family "Bacterial small subunit ribosomal RNA", at positions 362 to 774 of the family's 1533-position model. The record is from RNAcentral.